GACGGAGGGGGCUAGCGUUGUUCGGAAUUACUGGGCGUAAAGAGCGCGUAGGCGGCUUGGUAAGUUGGGAGUGAAAGCCCGGGGCUUAACCUCGGAAUAGCUUUCAAAACUGCUAGGCUAGAGUGUAGUAGGGGAUGAUGGAAUUCCUAGUGUAGAGGUGAAAUUCUUAGAUAUUAGGAGGAACACCGGUGGCGAAGGCGGUCAUCUGGGCUACAACUGACGCUGAUGCGCGAAAGCGUGGGGAGCAAACAGG
RNAcentral lists this ribosomal RNA (253 nucleotides) under uncultured bacterium. Its description in RNAcentral is "partial 16S ribosomal RNA". It matches the Rfam family "Bacterial small subunit ribosomal RNA", at positions 524 to 776 of the family's 1533-position model. The record is from RNAcentral.